Bradysia coprophila is the source of this 350-nucleotide long non-coding RNA. RefSeq lists it as uncharacterized. The record is from RefSeq and is a predicted model, not a curated record. NCBI's taxonomy places the organism in Eukaryota, Metazoa, Arthropoda, Insecta, Diptera, Sciaridae.
AAAUGGCCGUACAUCCGUCUCGUUUCGUUCAUCUCAUCGAUGAAUAGUCAGCCAUAGGUCUUUCACUCGAAGAAUAUCGAAUAGGGCAGACGUGUGCCGGCACAGCCAACACUUAAAACCUUUUCACAAGUACUUUUUCAAGUAAAAUGAGAGCUAAGUGGCGUAAGAAGCGUAUGCGAAGGCUAAAGCGUAAGCGUAGAAAGAUGCGUGCGCGUUCCAAGUAAUGAAAUGUGCUGCGACGCAUUCCUCUACAGAAAACGACUUCUUUGGCCCGGCCGGAAUGGAAUUAAAAUAUCAAUUCACAUUAUUUGUAGAUUAAAAUGCAAAUAAAAUUUUGGUCUGCCGAGAAA